AGUGAACGCUGGCGGUAGGCCUAACACAUGCAAGUCGAACGGCAGCACAGGAGAGCUUGCUCUCUGGGUGGCGAGUGGCGGACGGGUGAGGCAUACAUCUGAAUCUGCCCAGUCGUGGGGGAUAACGUAGGGAAACUUACGCUAAUACCGCAUACGACCUUCGGGUGAAAGAGGGGGAUCGCAAGACCUCUCGCGAUUGGAUGAGCCGAUGUCGGAUUAGCUAGUUGGCGGGGUAAUGGCCCACCAAGGCGACGAUCCGUAGCUGGUCUGAGAGGAUGAUCAGCCACACUGGAACUGAGACACGGUCCAGACUCCUACGGGAGGCAGCAGUGGGGAAUAUUGGACAAUGGGCGCAAGCCUGAUCCAGCCAUACCGCGUGGGUGAAGAAGGCCUUCGGGUUGUAAAGCCCUUUUGUUGGGAAAGAAAUCUUUCAGGCUAAUACCCUGGGAGGAUGACGGUACCCAAAGAAUAAGCACCGGCUAACUUCGUG
This 490-nucleotide ribosomal RNA is filed under the name uncultured bacterium. RNAcentral describes it as "partial 16S ribosomal RNA". It matches the Rfam family "Bacterial small subunit ribosomal RNA", at positions 29 to 507 of the family's 1533-position model. The record is from RNAcentral.